CUGUACCACCUAUAAUCGUUUUAAUCGAUGGGGGGACGCAGUAGGAUAGGCGAAGCGUGCGAUUGGAUUGCACGUCUAAGCAGUAAGGCUGAGUAUUAGGCAAAUCCGGUACUCGUUAAGGCUGAGCUGUGAUGGGGAGAAGACAUUGAGUCUUCGAGUCGUUGAUUUCACACUGCCGAGAAAAGCCUCUAGAUAGAAAAUAGGUGCCCGUACCGCAAACCGACACAGGUAGUCAAGAUGAGAAUUCUAAGGUGAGCGAGCGAACUCUCGUUAAGGAACUCGGCAAAAUGACCCCGUAACUUCGGGAGAAGGGGUGCUCUUUAGGGUUAACGCCCAGAAGAGCCGCAGUGAAUAGGCCCAAGCGACUGUUUAUCAAAAACACAGGUCUCUGCUAAACCGUAAGGUGAUGUAUAGGGGCUGACGCCUGCCCGGUGCUGGAAGGUUAAGAGGAGUGGUUAGCUUCUGCGAAGCUACGAAUCGAAGCCCCAGUAAACGGCGGCCGUAACUAUAACGGUCCUAAGGUAGCGAAAUUCCUUGUCGGGUAAGUUCCGACCCGCACGAAAGGCGUAACGAUUUGGGCACUGUCUCAACGAGAGACUCGGUGAAAUCAUAGUACCUGUGAAGAUGCAGGUUACCCGCGACAGGACGGAAAGACCCCGUGGAGCUUUACUGUAGCCUGAUAUUGAAAUUCGGCACAGCUUGUACAGGAUAGGUAGGAGCCUUUGAAACGUGAGCGCUAGCUUACGUGGAGGCGCUGGUGGGAUACUACCCUAGCUGUGUUGGCUUUCUAACCCGCACCACUUAUCGUGGUGGGAGACAGUGUCAAGCGGGCAGUUUGACUGGGGCGGUCGCCUCCUAAAAAGGUACGGAGGCGCUCAAAGGUUCCCUCAGAAUGGUUGGAAAUCAUUCAUAGAGUGUAAAGGCAUAAGGGAGCUUGACUGCGAGACCUACAAGUCGAGCAGGGUCGAAAGACGGACUUAGUGAUCCGGUGGUUCCGCAUGGAAGGGCCAUCGCUCAACGGAUAAAAGCUACCCCGGGGAUAACAGGCUUAUCUCCCCCAAGAGUUCACAUCGACGGGGAGGUUUGGCACCUCGAUGUCGGCUCAUCGCAUCCUGGGGCUGUAGUCGGUCCCAAGGGUUGGGCUGUUCGCCCAUUAAAGCGGUACGCGAGCUGGGUUCAGAACGUCGUGAGACAGUUCGGUCCCUAUCCGUCGUGGGCGUAGGAAAUUUGAGAGGAGCUGUCCUUAGUACGAGAGGACCGGGAUGGACAUACCUCUGGUGUACCAGUUGUCGUGCCAACGGCAUAGCUGGGUAGCUAUGUGUGGACGGGAUAAGUGCUGAAAGCAUCUAAGCAUGAAGCCCCCCUCAAGAUGAGAUUUCCCAACUUCGGUUAUAAGAUCCCUCAAAGAUGAUGAGGUUAAUAGGUUCGAGGUGGAAGCAUGGUGACAUGUGGAGCUGACGAAUACUAAUCGAUCGAAGACUUAAUCAA
Molecule: ribosomal RNA, 1488 nt
Filed under: Staphylococcus aureus subsp. aureus CIG1750
Lineage: Bacteria; Bacillati; Bacillota; Bacilli; Caryophanales; Staphylococcaceae
Description: bacterial LSU rRNA
Rfam family: Bacterial large subunit ribosomal RNA
Source: RNAcentral